Non-coding RNA from Ictidomys tridecemlineatus (thirteen-lined ground squirrel), 210 nucleotides. The record is from RefSeq and is a predicted model, not a curated record. Lineage: Eukaryota; Metazoa; Chordata; Mammalia; Rodentia; Sciuridae.
AGCAUUUGUGGGUGGUUGAAGAAUUACUAUUAACCUGGUGAGGCCCCAAACCUUGGGACCAGGGGCAUUGAGACUGCAAAGAAAGUACACGUCGUGAAAUGGAAUAUAUGUGUGAGGGUUUUCAACAAGUAGCUGUUGAACGAGUGAGCGAUGGGUACAUGGACUAAUGGAUGAAUAAAUAAAAGCAAAGAUGAGUAAACUUCCCAUGAA